UCCCACUGCAUUGUCAUCUUGAAGAUUUGUCACACUUUGAGAGAAAAACUUGUUGCCAUGACAAUGGGCUCAGAGGCUGAAAAGAAGACUUCAACCACUGUCAGCAGCAUCAUUGUGGUGGCCAAGUGGAUCAUCCCCAGAGUAGAUGAUGUUGUGAAAUCAGUGUACCAUCUGUUAAGCACCAAGCUCCUGGAUGCUCCAUCAGCAGAGAGCAGAGAAGAGAAGCAACUGGAUAUCCAAGAGAAGCAGCUUGACUUCAAAGAGACAACUUGACAACGUGGCUUCAGAGAGGAGUCUGGCCAAGGACUGCUGAACUCCAGGGGAGGAUUGCCCUCCCACUCCAUCUGCUUUCCAGCUCCCCUCCCCACAGAGAGCCAUUUUCAUCAGCAAUAAAAUCCUCCACAUUCACCACCCUCC
This 417-nucleotide long non-coding RNA is filed under the name Homo sapiens (human). RNAcentral's name for it is "non-protein coding lnc-LGSN-1:1". The record is from RNAcentral. Lineage: Eukaryota; Metazoa; Chordata; Mammalia; Primates; Hominidae.